AGUGGUAACAGGCAACAACCUGAACCCAGCUCCUCUGAGUUCAGAAAGGAGAUACCCUUUAUAUUGUGAAUGAUUUAACUUCCACAAAAGCAAUUUGUUACCAAGAACUGGACCUUGAAAUGCAGUUUCACGAAUCAACUAGGAAAAUGCUAUGGACAAUGCUGACCUCUGCAGAAUGACAGUGGGAAACCAGCUGUGAAGCCACUGCUACUAGCCCAUUAUCUGGCCUUUGUCAUGUGCUCUACAACAAUUACAUCUAUAUUCUUUAAAGGAGGAUGACCUACAAGACCUUGCCAGCUUCAAUCUUUUGGGCAGCCAUCGACUAAGAGCUUAUUCAGCCCAUUGAUUUAGUAGCAAGCUGAAAGUGAUGAAGCUGAAAGGACAGCUGGAGCACAAAUUUUAUCCAUUGGGAAUGGAUGAAAUUAAGCAUGGAUUGAAGACUGUUUGGAGAUCUGCUCUGCAGCAAUGAAAGCAAUAAACAGUA
Protobothrops mucrosquamatus (brown spotted pit viper) is the source of this 484-nucleotide long non-coding RNA. RefSeq lists it as uncharacterized. Lineage: Eukaryota; Metazoa; Chordata; Lepidosauria; Squamata; Viperidae. The record is from RefSeq and is a predicted model, not a curated record. The transcript is spliced from 4 exons.